UGGGGAAUAUUGCACAAUGGGCGCAAGCCUGAUGCAGCCAUGCCGCGUGUAUGAAGAAGGCCUUCGGGUUGUAAAGUACUUUCAGCGAGGAGGAAGGCAUUAAGGUUAAUAACCUUAGUGAUUGACGUUACUCGCAGAAGAAGCACCGGCUAACUCCGUGCCAGCAGCCGCGGUAAUAACGGAGGGUGCAAGCGUUAAUCGGAAUUACUGGGCGUAAAGCGCACGCAGGCGGUCUGUCAAGUCGGAUGUGAAAUCCCGGGCUCAACCUGGGAACUGCAUCCGAAACUGGCAGGCUAGAGUCUUGUAGA
This 308-nucleotide ribosomal RNA is filed under the name uncultured Enterobacteriaceae bacterium. Its description in RNAcentral is "bacterial SSU rRNA". It matches the Rfam family "Bacterial small subunit ribosomal RNA", at positions 355 to 655 of the family's 1533-position model. Lineage: Bacteria; Pseudomonadati; Pseudomonadota; Gammaproteobacteria; Enterobacterales; Enterobacteriaceae. The record is from RNAcentral.